This 423-nucleotide ribosomal RNA is filed under the name uncultured bacterium. RNAcentral's name for it is "bacterial SSU rRNA". It matches the Rfam family "Bacterial small subunit ribosomal RNA", at positions 28 to 453 of the family's 1533-position model. The record is from RNAcentral.
GACGAACGCUGGCGGCGUGCUUAACACAUGCAAGUCGAACGGUAAGGCCCUUCGGGGUACACGAGUGGCGAACGGGGUGAGUAACACGUGGGUGAUCUGCCCUGCACUUCGGGAUAAGCUUGGGAAACUGGGUCUAAUACCGGAUAGGACCACGGUCUGCAUGGAUUGUGGUGGAAAGCUUUUGCGGUGUGGGAUGGGCCCGCGGCCUAUCAGCUUGUUGGUGGGGUGAUGGCCUACCAAGGCGACGACGGGUAGCCGGCCUGAGAGGGUGUCCGGCCACACUGGGACUGAGAUACGGCCCAGACUCCUACGGGAGGCAGCAGUGGGGAAUAUUGCACAAUGGGCGCAAGCCUGAUGCAGCGACGCCGCGUGGGGGGAUGACGGCCUUCGGGUUGUAACCUCUUUCUAGCAGGGACGAAGGGU